GAUGAAGACGCAGCGAAAUGCGAUACGUAAUGUGAAUUGCAGAAUUCAGUGAAUCAUCGAGUCUUUGAACGCACAUUGCGCCCCCUGGUAUUCCGGGGGGCAUGCCUGUCCGAGCGUCAUUGCUGCCCUCAAGCACGGCUUGUGUGUUGGGCCUCCGUCCUCCUCCCGGGGGACGGGCCCGAAAGGCAGCGGCGGCACCGCGUCCGGUCCUCGAGCGUAUGGGGCUUCGUCACCCGCUCUUGUAGGCCCGGCCGGCGCUUGCCGACACAUCAAUCUUUUUUCCAGGUUGACCUCGGAUCAGGUAGGGAUACCCGCUGAACUUAAGCAUAUCAAUAAGCGGAGGA
This 344-nucleotide unclassified non-coding RNA is filed under the name soil metagenome. Its description in RNAcentral is "partial contains 5.8S ribosomal RNA, internal transcribed spacer 2, and large subunit ribosomal RNA". The stretch from base 1 to 119 matches the Rfam family "5.8S ribosomal RNA", at positions 35 to 154 of the family's 154-position model. The record is from RNAcentral.